UCCCUCCUGGGUAGUAAUGGACAGACA
RNAcentral lists this non-coding RNA (27 nucleotides) under Cricetulus griseus (Chinese hamster). Lineage: Eukaryota; Metazoa; Chordata; Mammalia; Rodentia; Cricetidae. The record is from RNAcentral.